CCUACGGGUGGCUGCAGUGGGGAAUAUUGGACAAUGGGCGAAAGCCUGAUCCAGCCAUGCCGCGUGUGUGAAGAAGGCCUUCGGGUUGUAAAGCACUUUCAGUGGGGAAGAAAGCCUUGGGGCUAAUACCCUCGAGGAAGGACAUCACCCACAGAAGAAGCACCGGCUAACUCCGUGCCAGCAGCCGCGGUAAUACGGAGGGUGCGAGCGUUAAUCGGAAUUACUGGGCGUAAAGCUCGCGUAGGCGGUCUGAUAAGCCGGUUGUGAAAGCCCCGGGCUCAACCUGGGAACGGCAUCCGGAACUGUCAGGCUAGAGUGCAGGAGAGGAAGGUAGAAUUCCCGGUGUAGCGGUGAAAUGCGUAGAGAUCGGGAGGAAUACCAGUGGCGAAGGCGGCCUUCUGGACUGACACUGACGCUGAGGUGCGAAAGCGUGGGUAGCAAACAGGAUUAGAUACCCCUGUAGUC
Molecule: ribosomal RNA, 465 nt
Filed under: Vreelandella stevensii
Lineage: Bacteria; Pseudomonadati; Pseudomonadota; Gammaproteobacteria; Oceanospirillales; Halomonadaceae
Description: partial 16S ribosomal RNA
Rfam family: Bacterial small subunit ribosomal RNA
Source: RNAcentral